UGUGCGCGAGUCACUGGGAUCAUGUCUAAACCCAGAGGCGCAGUGAAAGCGUGGGGCUCGCACGGCAUAAAGCCGCCGCGAGCCGCUAAGGGAGGACGGCCGGUCGUUCCCGAACGGUGCGGCCGGCCAGCACUCCCGGGGCGCCUCGGCUCCGGCCGCAGGCGCACCCGGAGCGCACACGUUGGGACCCGAAAGAUGGUGAACUAUGCCCGGCCAGGACGAAGUCAGGGGAAACCCUGAUGGAGGUCCGCAGCGAUUCUGACGUGCAAAUCGAUCGUCAGAGCUAGGUAUAGGGGCGAAAGACUAAUCGAACCAUCUAGUAGCU
Molecule: ribosomal RNA, 325 nt
Filed under: Cyrilliotermes angulariceps
Lineage: Eukaryota; Metazoa; Arthropoda; Insecta; Blattodea; Termitidae
Description: eukaryotic LSU rRNA
Rfam family: Eukaryotic large subunit ribosomal RNA
Source: RNAcentral